GGCCCUGCGGAGGGCGCGGCGCGGGGAGGUGGGCGCUGCGGCGGCGGCCCGGAGGAGCGCGGGGCGGGAGCGCGGGCGCGGGCGCCGGCGGCAGGCCAUGCCGGGGGCCGGGGACGGCGUGGAGGAGAGCUGCAGUGGUGGUGAGGGAGCGGUACCGGGAACAGGCUCGGAGGCUGGGGCGGUGGCGGGACGGGAGCCCUCGCGGCUGUGCGGCUACCUGCAGAAGCUGUCGGGCAAGGGCCCGUUGCGCGGCUACCGCAGCCGCUGGUUCGUGUUUGACUCGCGCCGCUGCUACCUCUACUACUUCAAGAGUCCCCAGGACGCUCUGCCGCUCGGCCACCUGGACAUCGCCGACGCCUGCUUCAGCUACCAGGGCCGCGAUGAGGCUGCGGAGCCCGGAGCAGAUCCGCCCACACACUUCCAGGUGCACAGCGCCGGUGCAGUCACCGUGCUCAAGGCUCCUAAUCGUGAGCUCAUGACUUACUGGCUACAGGAGCUUCAGCAGAAAAGAUGGGAAUAUUGCAACAGCCUUGACAUGAUGAAGUGGGACAGCAGGACUUCCCCGACUCCAGGGGAUUUUCCCAAGGGCCUUGUGGCCAGAGAUACCACAGAUAUAAUUUCCCAGCACCCAAAUCCUUCUGCAGAAAAAGCCAGAACUGUGCUCGCUGUGGAAGCUGCCCCUGGAGAGCUGGUGGGAGACCGGGCUGCUCAUCAGCCAGCUCCCGGGCAUCCGAAUCCCAUCAACUUUUACUCUCUGAAGCAGUGGGGAAAUGAGCUCAAAAAUUCAAUGUCAUCAUUCCGUCCUGGGAGAGGGCACAGUGAGAGUCGCAGGACCGUGUUUUACACCAAUGAAGAGUGGGAACUUCUAGACCCGCCUCCUAAGGACCUGGAGGAGUCCCUGGUACCAGAAGAGAGGAAGAAGCCGAUGCCUGAGGGCAGUAAAGGAGUCGCUAGUUCAGGAUUCCCCUUUGAAUUUGGACGGAACCCUUACAAAGGAAAGCGCCCCUUGAAAGAUAUAAUUGGGUCAUACAAAAACCGCCACAGCAGUAGUGAUCCUUUGCUCGAGGGAACGGCGACAUCAUCAGGCAGCAGCGGAGGUCCCACUAAGCCAGUCCCCGAAAUGCAGCUGCAGAUUCAAAGCCAGCAGGAGGAGCUGGAGCAACUCAAGAAGGACCUAUCCAGUCAGAAGGAGCUCAUUCGGCUGCUCCAGCAGACAGUCCGGUCAUCCCAAUAUGACAAGUAUUUCACGAACCCCCAGAUCAGCCAGGGGGUCCCCGGGGACACACUGGAGCUCCUGCACCAGAAGGACGAGCAGAUCCUGGGCCUCAGCGGCCAGCUGGAGAGGUUCGGCCUGGAGAAGGAAAGCCUCCAGCAGGAAGUGAGGACGCUGAAGAGCAAGGUGGGCGAGCUCAACGAGCGGCUCGGCAUGCUGAUGGAGACCAUCCAGGCCAAGGACGAGGUCAUCAUCAAGCUCAGCGCCUGUGAGGGCAGCGUGUCAUCACCCACCCUGGGGCCCAGCUCUCCUUUGGCCAUCCCAGCCAGCAAGGACCAGCUGGAGCUGGACAGGCUAAAAGAUAGUCUGCAAGGGUACAAAAGCCAAAAUAAAUUUCUAAACAAGGAAAUUUUGGAACUCUCGGCUCUACGAAGAAAUGCAGAAAGGAGAGAGAGGGAUCUGAUGGCUAAGUACUCUAGCCUGGAAGCCAAGCUCUGCCAGGUUGAAAGUAAAUACUUGAUACUGCUCCAAGAAAUGAAGACACCAGUUUGCUCAGAGGAACAGGGCCCUGCCAGGGAUGUCAUAGCCCAGUUGUUGGAGGAUGCUCUGCAGGUCGAGAGCCAAGAGCAGCCGGAGCAAGCAUUCGUUAAGCCUCAUCUGGUCAGUGAGUUUGAUAUCUACGGGUUUAGGACUGUCCCUGAUGAUGAUGAGGAAGAGAAGUUGGUCGCCAAGGUCCGAGCACUGGACCUGAAGACUCUGUACCUCACAGACAACCAGGAGGUUUCCACUGGGGUCAAGUGGGAAAACUAUUUUGCGAGCACAAUGAACAGGGAGAUGGCAUGCUCUCCGGAGCUGAAAAACCUGAUCCGAGCAGGCAUUCCCCACGAGCACCGCUCCAAGGUGUGGAAGUGGUGUGUUGACCGUCACACCAGGAAGUUCAAGGACAGCAUGGAGCCAGACUACUUCCAGACCUUGCUGCAGAAGGCUCUGGAGAAACAGAACCCGGCCUCCAAGCAGAUCGAGCUGGACCUGCUCCGGACUCUGCCCAACAACAAGCACUACUCCAGCCCCACGUCGGAGGGCAUACAGAAGCUGCGCAGUGUCCUGCUCGCCUUCUCCUGGCGGAAUCCCGAUAUCGGCUACUGCCAAGGCCUGAACAGGUUGGUGGCAGUGGCUCUCCUUUACCUGGAUCAAGAAGAUGCCUUCUGGUGUCUCGUUACCAUCGUGGAAGUCUUCAUGCCCCGAGACUAUUACACAAAGACUCUUUUAGGAUCCCAGGCUAUAGCCCCCUGGGCUCCUGGACUGUUUUCCACCCACCCAUAAGGCUGUUGGAUGCAGUUCACCCUCUAGUGACAGGACACUGUUUCUCUGUGUGUGGGACUUCUCUCCUAGAACGCCAUCCCCUGCUCAUCUAGAAAGCUCCAGGUGGACCAGCGGGUGUUCAGAGACCUCCUGAGUGAGAAGCUGCCUCGACUGCACACCCAUUUUGAACAGUACAAAGUGGACUACACCCUCAUCACCUUCAACUGGUUUCUGGUGGUAUUUGUGGACAGCGUUGUCAGCGACAUCCUCUUUAAAAUAUGGGACUCUUUCCUUUAUGAGGGACCAAAGGUUAUUUUCCGUUUUGCCCUGGCACUUUUUAAAUAUAAGGAAGAGGAGAUCCUGAAAUUGCAAGAUUCGAUGUCCAUAUUCAAGUAUCUGCGUUACUUCACUCGGACUAUCCUCGAUGCCAGGAAGCUGAUCAGCAUCUCCUUUGGGGAUCUGAACCCCUUCCCCCUGCGCCAGAUCCGGAACCGGAGAGCCUACCACCUGGAGAAGGUCCGGCUGGAGCUGACAGAGCUGGAGGCCAUUCGAGAGGACUUCCUGCGUGAGCGGGACACUAGCCCUGACAAAGGCGAGCUAGUUAGCGAUGAGGAGGAAGACACUUGAAUGGAUCCCCACCCUAGGAUGCUGCUCUUCUUGCCUUCCUUCAUAACCAAAAGUAGCAAAGGCACAUCACUGCACAUCAGCUGUCAGAUUGUAACAUCUACAGCCUCUGGCUUCUGCUGGGCAGAUGUCCAGAGCUAAGCUGCACUUUCUCAUCUCCCAUUUCGGGGCAGGGGGCAGGUGGCUUUACAGCCAUUUCCGUGUCACAUGCAUCAUAUGCUUGCUGCCUGAUUGGUGACUCACCGGGUGACUGUUUCCAAGGGCCUGUUUACAGCAUCUGCCAGUUGUGUGCGUGUUUCGCCCCACAAAAACUAUGUUCCACAUCUCCCUAUGCUCUUUCUUUUACCCAAGGGCAGCACUGUGGAGGAAUGUGCAGGGCGCCACAGUGUGGCUGCUUCCAGGGUCACAAGGUCACCAUAAGAAGAGGGACCUCUUUAAAAAGCAAGCACACAACUGGCCUCCCAGGCUGGCGUGGGAGCCCUCUGCUGGUGGCUUGGCACUGCCAGCCGCAGUCCCUUCUGGACUAGCCUUUGCUCUCCUAUGUAGCCUUUCAGACUGCAGCACUCCCCCUGAUCUGCAGCAGUGCCCACACUUCUCACUGCCAGCUGCUUUGCCAGCUGUCUGUCCCAGAUUGCAGUGGGGCUAAACACAUCUCCAGGAGCUGCUGUAGGAAGCUCUUCUAGCUGGGAGCUGACUUGUAGACACCAUUCUCCAACUCUGGCUGGCUUGGGGUUCCAAAGGGACCUUGCAGUAGACCCAGCCCUGCAUAAGGGAACAUAGGAAACUCUCAGAUCUGUGGCUUGUGGGCUCCUGGAUUCAGGGCUCUAGAAUCUCUCCUGCCUGACAGCUGGAGUGGGGCUGACUGCCAGCUUCCUGCAUCUGGAAGCACCUGGAGUGGUGAGUUCUAGUCUCUGUGUUGCCUGGAUUAUCCUUGUCUUCAACAGGGAUCUGGGGCCACUAUGGCCUCUGGAAUAGCAGACUCUGGGGACUUGGAACACUUCUUUCUUGAAGCCCAGAGAGGGUUUGAACAAGAAAGGUUAUUUUUGCUCAGUCCCAGCGCAUCGCUGAUGGGUGACUGUCAUGAGAAAGCAUGUUACACAGUAUUAUGGGAGCACAAGGGAAACAGCCUUGGACUACUUUACACUACCUGGGGGAAAAUUGGAAACAAUCCUUAGUGUAAACACACUCAGACUCAGGAGCGGAGCAAGACAGUUUCGAGAAGCGCUUUUUCCAUGACCCAUUUUCCUGUUUUUGCUGUCUGCUUUCUAGCACUUGAGUGGCUGAGUCCAUUUUUCAGUAUCUAGACUAUGCUUAACUUCUCCAAAAGUUGCUUCAUUUAUUACCAUGUAAAAGGAGCUGGUCUCUCUAUUUAGCCAAUGGCCUUUGCCUAUCUUCAGGUAUCAAAAAUGUCAUCCUUGUGUCUUUAGGAUGGUGGUUUGAGGCCUGGUUUCUUCAGGAAGCUUGUCUGGAGCUGGACAGUGGUCUUACUGCUAUUCCAGAGCCUCCCUGAGACCAAAUGCAGGGAGAUGCCCCACCCCCUUGGAAGUGCCGGCUCUCAGCCUUGGGGACAGCUGUUAGGAAGUGCCGCAGGGUAGGGUUGCCCCAGGGCUCAGUUGCCAUGUCAGUUUCGUACCAGAAGAUGCCAGUCCAGAUGUGCAUUUGGUGUAAAUUUACUGGCGGGUUGCUUUUGUCCUGUAUGCUGGUGGAGGAGUCUUUAAAGCACCUGGUGAUGCCGGGGACAUGGCUUAGAACAUGUGCCUGGUGUGUGGGACUCUGGGUUCCAGCCCAGUGAUUGGAAACGAAAAUCUCCAAUAUGCAUGGGGUCCUGUUCUGCCAUUCCCUGAGAGACGGCAUUAGUUUCUCAAGCAGUUAGCAUCAGUGCUCAGGUAAAAGUCUCAAGAGGCCCCAAGGGGAAUGCACAAAUGCACACUUAGAGGCUCUCAUCCCUGGAUAAAUGACUCAGUGGCUUCAGAGCUGAGAAGGAGGGCUUGCCCUCUUUCCAGUUUGGGGACAAAAUGGCAGAUGCUUGUCCCAGAGGCAAGGCUCCGGUGACUGAGCCAUCUUCUCCCAUUCCCUCAUCACGGAGACUGUCUUUACCCUCCUCUAGUGUUCCUGAGGUUCCAGACUUCUCCCAGCCACCGUGGCAGGUACCCCUCAUGUCAGGGACUGCCUCGUGCUGCUUUUCAUCUGAACCUUUACCCAGCAUGCAACGCAUGGCUCCUGCCUGGUGAGCCUCGUGGGCUGAGAAAGCCAAAGCACAGCCUCCAGCGUGUGGGUCCAAAUGCACGUGCCACAGUAGAGGAGCACCCUGCGCUUGGCGCCCCGUCUGGUGGGACCUACCGAUAUUCCAACCGUUGACACUUUUAUAUUUUCACUACAUUUUAUAUUUUUAUAGACUAUUUUAUAUUAAGGUUUUUCUAGAUCCUGUACAACUUUUAUAUAACAAGUUCUAUUUUGUGUGCACGACUCCCCUGUAUGUAUUUAUAUCAACCCGAGCCUCCCAGAUUGCAGGUCCCUCUUGUGCCACCUUUUCCUCUUAGCCUUGACUGUCCCUCUCCUCUGCUCACCCAGGUAGCCUCAGGGGCUACUUCUAGCCGUGAUAACACCCGAACAGCAGUCACUGGUCAGCAUGUACUUCUCUGGUGUUUGUUAGCUGUGGUCUGUUGAUACAGGAAGUACUCUGGGCAGUACCCAGUCAGGUUACCACACUAUGUUACCGCACAAACCCCUCUCCCUCAGUACAGUGGGUGUCCUGAUGCAGCGACCUCUGGGUGGGUGGCUGGUCAGGAAAGUCCUCGAAGACAGAGGCUAGAUGCAAGCCCGAUGUAUGAGGCUCUGCUCCUGUGGGCAACUAGGGGACUUGAGGGCACACUGCCAAAUGACUGUCCUUUCAUAUCACAGCAGCUUCCCUGCUCAUCCUUGAGUUAAAUGUAGACUUGUAAAGGAAGAAAUAAACUAAUUUUUAUUACA
This is an RNA transcript of Mus musculus (house mouse), 6109 nucleotides long. It is a transcript of the gene named TBC1 domain family, member 2B, with no coding region annotated. The record is from RefSeq and is marked validated. The transcript has 14 exons. Lineage: Eukaryota; Metazoa; Chordata; Mammalia; Rodentia; Muridae.